This 492-nucleotide ribosomal RNA is filed under the name uncultured bacterium. RNAcentral describes it as "partial 16S ribosomal RNA". It matches the Rfam family "Bacterial small subunit ribosomal RNA", at positions 28 to 507 of the family's 1533-position model. The record is from RNAcentral.
GGUGAACGCUGGCGGCAUGCCUAACACAUGCCAGUCGAGCGGAGGAACGGGGCGUGCUCCCGUUUUCAGCUGGCGACGGGUGGGUGAGUCAGAAGUAUAUCACUUUCAUCUUUGUCUAGGGUCAUAACGCGGGCACUGAUACGCUAUACGUUCAUAGGUCGAACGGGUGGGAUCUUCGGAGCUCGCGUGAUCGGGUGAUCCUAUGAGCUGAGGCCGGAUUAGCUAGUUGGCGGGGUAACGGCCCACCAAGGCGACGAUCCGUAGCUGGUCUGAGAGGAUGAUCAGCCACACUGGAACUGAGACACGGUCCAGACUCCUACGGGAGGCAGCAGUGGGGAAUAUUGGACAAUGGGCGAAAGCCUGAUCCAGCCAUGCCGCGUGUGUGAAGAAGGUCUUCGGAUUGUAAAGCCCUUUUAUUGGGGAAGAAGAGCAGUAAGUUAAUACCUCGCUGUUUUGACGGUACCAACAGAAUAAGCACCGGCUAACUUCGUG